RNAcentral lists this long non-coding RNA (262 nucleotides) under Elaeis guineensis (African oil palm). RNAcentral describes it as "long non-coding RNA (EGUI_LNC078949)". The record is from RNAcentral. Lineage: Eukaryota; Viridiplantae; Streptophyta; Magnoliopsida; Arecales; Arecaceae.
GGUUAGUUCUGGAACUUUUUGUUAUUUUUUUAUCCUUUUUUCUUCGUAUUCUGUUUAUUUAACUUUCUCGGGGGCCUGUCUACUAUUUUUUCCCAAUUUUUUGAGAUUUUUGUGGCUUUCGUUUGAUCCAAAAUAUCCUUUGAUAUCUCCUCUUCUAGCAGUUCUAGGAGUUCGUCAGCCCCGGUUCCCCAUAGUAUUGGUACCGUAGACGAACUCGUAGCUAGGACCGAACCUUGUCCAGCUUUUGCGUCGGAUACCAUCC